CUACCAUGCAGUCGACGAUGAAGCCCUUCGGGGUGGAUUAGUGGCGAACGGGUGAGUAACACGUGGGCAAUCUGCCCUUCACUCUGGGACAAGCCCUGGAAACGGGGUCUAAUACCGGAUAACACUCGCCGAGGCAUCUCGGUGGGUUGAAAGCUCCGGCGGUGAAGGAUGAGCCCGCGGCCUAUCAGCUUGUUGGUGAGGUAGAAGCUCACCAAGGCGACGACGGGUAGCCGGCCUGAGAGGGCGACCGGCCACACUGGGACUGAGACACGGCCCAGACUCCUACGGGAGGCAGCAGUGGGGAAUAUUGCACAAUGGGCGAAAGCCUGAUGCAGCGACGCCGCGUGAGGGAUGACGGCCUUCGGGUUGUAAACCUCUUUCAGCAGGGAAGAAGCGAAAGUGACGGUACCUGCAGAAGAAGCGCCGGCUAACUACGUGCCAGCAGCCGCGGUAAUACGUAGGGCGCAAGCGUUGUCCGGAAUUAUUGGGCGUAAAGAGCUCGUAGGCGGUCUGUCACGUCGGAUGUGAAAGCCCGGGGCUUAACCCCGGGUCUGCAUUCGAUACGGGCAGACUAGAGUGUGGUAGGGGAGAUCGGAAUUCCUGGUGUAGCGGUGAAAUGCGCAGAUAUCAGGAGGAACACCGGUGGCGAAGGCGGAUCUCUGGGCCAUUACUGACGCUGAGGAGCGAAAGCGUGGGGAGCGAACAGGAUUAGAUACCCUGGUAGUCCACGCCGUAAACGGUGGGAACUAGGUGUUGGCGACAUUCCACGUCGUCGGUGCCGCAGCUAACGCAUUAAGUUCCCCGCCUGGGGAGUACGGCCGCAAGGCUAAAACUCAAAGGAAUUGACGGGGGCCCGCACAAGCAGCGGAGCAUGUGGCUUAAUUCGACGCAACGCGAAGAACCUUACCAAGGCUUGACAUCGCCCGGAAAGCAUCAGAGAUGGUGCCCCCCUUGUGGUCGGGUGACAGGUGGUGCAUGGCUGUCGUCAGCUCGUGUCGUGAGAUGUUGGGUUAAGUCCCGCAACGAGCGCAACCCUUGUUCUGUGUUGCCAGCAUGCCCUUCGGGGUGAUGGGGACUCACAGGAGACUGCCGGGGUCAACUCGGAGGAAGGUGGGGACGACGUCAAGUCAUCAUGCCCCUUAUGUCUUGGGCUGCACACGUGCUACAAUGGCAGGUACAAUGAGCUGCGAUGUCGCAAGGCGGAGCGAAUCUCAAAAAGCCUGUCUCAGUUCGGAUUGGGGUCUGCAACUCGACCCCAUGAAGUCGGAGUUGCUAGUAAUCGCAGAUCAGCAUUGCUGCGGUGAAUACGUUCCCGGGCCUUGUACACACCGCCCGUCACGUCACGAAAGUCGGUAACACCCGAAGCCGGUGGCCCAACCCCCUUGUGGGGAGGGAGCUGUCGAAGGUGGGACUGGCGAUUGGGACGAAGUCGAACAGAGC
RNAcentral lists this ribosomal RNA (1440 nucleotides) under Streptomyces phaeochromogenes. RNAcentral's name for it is "bacterial SSU rRNA". It matches the Rfam family "Bacterial small subunit ribosomal RNA". Lineage: Bacteria; Bacillati; Actinomycetota; Actinomycetes; Kitasatosporales; Streptomycetaceae. The record is from RNAcentral.